CAGUAGCCGCGGUAAUACGUAGGUGGCAAGCGUUGUCCGGAAUUAUUGGGCGUAAAGCGCGCGCAGGCGGAUCGGUCAGUCUGUCUUAAAGGUUCGGGGCUUAACCCCGUGAUGGGAUGGAAACUGCCAAUCUAGAGUAUCGGAGAGGAAAGUGGAAUUCCUAGUGUAGCGGUGAAAUGCGUAGAUAUUAGGAAGAACACCAGUGGCGAAGGCGACUUCCUGGACGAAAACUGACGCUGAGGCUCGAAAGCCAGGGGAGCGAACGGGAUUAGAUACCCCCGUAGUCCCUGUCUCUUAUACA
This 301-nucleotide ribosomal RNA is filed under the name uncultured bacterium. RNAcentral's name for it is "partial 16S ribosomal RNA". It matches the Rfam family "Bacterial small subunit ribosomal RNA", at positions 509 to 809 of the family's 1533-position model. The record is from RNAcentral.